Molecule: unclassified non-coding RNA, 332 nt
Filed under: soil metagenome
Description: partial contains 5.8S ribosomal RNA, internal transcribed spacer 2, and large subunit ribosomal RNA
Rfam family: 5.8S ribosomal RNA (bases 1-120)
Source: RNAcentral
GAUGAAGAACGCAGCAAAAUGCGAUAAGUAAUGUGAAUUGCAGAAUUCAGUGAAUCAUCGAAUCUUUGAACGCACAUUGCGCCCGCCAGUAUUCUGGCGGGCAUGCCUGUUCGAGCGUCAUUUCAACCCUCAAGCACAGCUUGGUGUUGGGACUCGCGUUAAUUCGCGUUCCUCAAAUUGAUUGGCGGUCACGUCGAGCUUCCAUAGCGUAGUAGUAAAACCCUCGUUACUGGUAAUCGUCGCGGCCACGCCGUUAAACCCCAACUUCUGAAUGUUGACCUCGGAUCAGGUAGGAAUACCCGCUGAAAUUAAGCAUAUCAAUAAGCGGAGGA